AAAAUUCCAGAUGUCCCUGGCGUACAUUGCGUUAUUGAUAGACAACAUUUAGUUGCUAGAAACUUAAGUGAGAAACUAUUUCAAUCACUGCAAUAUGUCAUCAAAGCAGUCAAUAAAAUCCGCAACAGCUCUUUGAAUGAUAGAUUAGUUCUUGGAAACUAAAGAUACCAGACUGGGUGUUGGAUCCGUUUUCAAAUGUCAACACAGCAAUGUCACCUCAGCUGGAAGAAGAACUUAUAGAAUUGACAACAAACGAGGAAAUAAAAAUCAAGUUCAAAAAUGGUUCCAAGAAUUUUGGCUACAAAAACCGAUUUCGCAAUUGUACCCUGGAUUGUAGUCAAUCCUUCAACGAUUCUUGAUAGCAUUCCCAUCGUCAUAUUUGUGUGAACGUGGAUUUAGUGCUGUGACAACACUGCUUACUAAAAAUAGAAAUCGUUUGCUUGCCGAACGUGGCGACUUGCGACUGUUCUUGAGUAAAUAGAAACCUGGUAUUAGCAAACUUAUCAAAGAGUAUCAGAUUCAUUUUUCACAUUAGUUUUUAUAUAUGGAUCGAUUAUUUUAGUUUAAUUUUUAAUAAAAGAUUCUCUGUUUUAAUACUAUAAAGUUGUUUUUCAAUAAUCAUUCUUAUUGGCAGGUGGAGCCCGUAAGAGUUAACUUGAGACCGAAGCGCCGUUGUAUGUUACCUACUGCGCUCAGGUUUCAAGUUGCUGGUUAUAGUAAAAGUUUCGCUUAGAAUUCUCCGUUAAUAUACAUAUAUAGGUCACAAUAAUUAAUUUGAAGUUAUAGUGGUUUUUAAAUAGGUGAAAAAAUGGGGGGCGCUAAAAAAAUAUUUAUUCUCAAAGUGGGCGGUAGACAAAAUAAGUUUGGGAACCACUGAACUAGACUGUUCAAAGUUGACAGGUAAACCCCAUGUAACAGUGAAGCUUUAGAAGAAAUGAUUCGAUUAAGAAGUAAUAAUUCGUAAAGUCGUCAAUAGAACUUGGUCGCAAAUAAUAUAACAAUUAGUCAAUGAAAGGUUCCGAGUUGAUAUUAAAUGCUGCCUAAUUAUCGAUUUACUUAACCAAUACUACAUGUCAUAGUUCAUAUUUUAACAAAUUUGGGGUUUCUCACAUCAAACUAAAAAAUUAAAAAUAAAUAUAGUUUAAAAAAACUAAAAAACACGCUUUUAAAGGAUAUCAAACUAAAAAGUGAAAAAUAAUUCUUUGUAUAAACUAACAAUAAUAAUGAAGGAAAAAUUCCUGCAUUAUUGUGAGAAAAGCGUGGGGUGCUUUGUGACAUAUUUUUCAUGAAAUGAUUUUUUUUUAGGCCGUAAGGAGGGUUUAAAAUCCUUCGCACCGUAUAGGGAUCGUCAUCCUAUGUGAGUGGUGUACCCACUAAAACACUCCCCCCUUCUAUCAUGGAUUUUUUCCUUACCCCGGGACCGCUUCCGCAUUACUUCAGGGCAAGGUUUCCAAUAUGGACCCAUUACAGGUCAGUUUCUACUCUCCCUGCGUCCAGGGAUGCCUACGGUUUUCUAGCCAGCAUCAAGCUAUUGGCUCAUCUUCUAUUGGGAGUCCGCAUCCAUGUCUCUUUUUUUAGUGCGUAAAACAUGUUCCACGUACACGGCAAUUAUUUCCCAGUUUUCCUUGCUUGCUAUCAUUUUUCUUGAAAUAUUUUCCGUACUUAGUUCUCCGAGCUUGUUUUCUACAGUUCUUCGGGCUUCUUUCCAUCGGUGGCACUUGAAAAAGGUAUGGUUUGCAUCAUCUAGCGGUUCGUCUCCAUAAAUACAUCCUGGACUUUCUGUUUUUCCCAUGUUGUACAGGUAUUUUCGGAAAUACCCGUGACCAGACAGCAUCUGUGUUAUGUAGUAAUUUACCUCGCCGUGUUUUCUACUGUGCCACGUCUCUAUUCCCUUAAUCAGUUUGGCGGUCCAUCUUCCUUUGCUCUCUCUUGUCCGCCGAUCUUGCCAGAGUUCAAAAGUUUGCUUCCUCGCCUGUUGUCUUGUGGCCAUGUGUAUUUCUAUUCCGCCUUUCUUCCAUAGCCAGAGUUGUCUUCUCUCCUUUGCGAGAAGGUUUAUUGGGAUGGCGCCGCUUAUCACUAGCACUGCGGGUUCAGAUACAGUGCGGUACGCCGAGGCGACUCUUAGGACUGCUGUCCUCUGCACUUUAGCUAGCACUUUCCUUCUAUGUUCUACCUUUAAUGUGUCGGCCCAUAUUUCGCUCCCGUAUAAUAGUACUGACUGUGUUGUGUCGAUAAACAAUUUUCUUCUGCUUGCAAGUGGGCCUCCGGUGUUUGCCAUGAGUCUUCAUAGCGCCAUUGUUAUAUUGACUGACUUUUUUGCAGCGUGUUGGAUUUGAGCCCAGUACGUAAAUUUGUUGCCCAUUCUUAUUCCUAGGUAUUUUAGGGUUUUCGUCGUUUGGAUAGUUUCUGAAUGGACUUGCAUGUUUACCUCCAGCGGGAUGUGUUUCCUAGUGAGCAGGAUCAGUAGUUUCCUGUCUUUAAGAUAGCUUCGUAUCAGUUUCAUCAAAUAAAGGGGCGUUUUGAAGCGGCUUUCUUGUGCGUCAAUCAUAUUUGCCCAUUUUGCGCUAUUGAAUGCAUUCCUUAUGUCAAUUGUUGCGAGGAGGACUAUUGGUCUCGAGAAGUUAUUUUUUCGAUGAGCUUCCUCCACGCUGCGCACCACAUCUUCCACAGCUCCGAUGGUGGACCUACCUGGUCUGAAUCCGUGUUGUCGCUCUGAUAGGCCUCCAGCGUCGUUUAUGGCGGUUAUGAUGCGGGGUUUCAGCAGUCUUUCUAGCAACUUUCCUGCUGUAUCUAGCAUGCAUAGGGGUCGGUCUGCUGAUGGUGUUCCUGGGUCUCCUUUGCAUUUGCUUAUUAGGGUCAGAUGCUGCCUCUUCCAUAUUUCUGGGAAAAUGCCCUCGUUCAGACAUGAAUUAUUCAUGGAUAGCAGUAAGUGCGGGCGUUCCGUAGCGAUUAGCUUUAGCACUUCCACCGGUAUCCCAUCAGGCCCAGAGGCUUUUCUGGUCUUUAGAGUGUUUGCUGCAGUGUUCAUGAGCUCUCUUGUGUAUGUUCUGGUGGGUCUCUUCCCAGAUCAUGGGUUGGGAACAGGGUGUUUACGAUGUUCUCCAUAGCUGCGGCGCUUAACUCAGGGGUGGCCUGUUUUUCUCCGAGUUUUUUCAUCACAAUCUUGUAUCCGAGACCCCACGGAUUUUUGUUUAUAUCGUUACGUAGCUCCUCCCAUUUAUCUUUCUUUGCCUUUGCUAUUGCGUCUUUCAGCUCAGUUUUUGCAGCUUUAUAUUCCAUAUGCUCCUCCAUUCCGUUUCUUCCUCUUCUUCUGGCUCUUGUAUAUCGUCGUCUUUUGCACAGGCAAGUUUGUCUAAGGUUUCGGAUUUCGUCCGUCCACCAGUAAACUGCUUUCUUUGGAUGUCCUCCUUUUAUUUUGGGCAUUGCUACUUUACAUGCCUCGGCUACUUUACAUGCCUCGGCCUCGAUCAGCCUAGCUGUGCUACUUGCGUGGUAUUUUGGUGGGUUUUUAUCUAUGGCUGCGAGGAGCUUUUCUGAGUCUAGCUUGGAAGCGUUCCAUUUGCGUGUUCCUCUUCUUAUCUUCGUUGCUGGAUUUUUAUCUGGGCCUAUGAGGUACAUAAGAUAUGUCUUAGUGGUCGCUACCAGUAUAGUCUUCCAAAACUUUCCACUCACGCAGCUGGCUUGCGAGUCCUUCGGACACCAGCGUGAUAUCGGGGGUUGUGUCGUUGCAUCGUGGUCUUCUGAAUGUGGUUUGGGAUCCUCUAUUGGCGACGAUAAGACCUAAUCUAGCUGCCAUGUCGAGAAUUUUCCGGCCCCUCGAGUUUGUAGUCGGUGUGCCCCAUUCCAUAGCCUUGGCGUUGAAGUCUCCGGCUAUGAUUAAGUGACGGUUUCUUUGUCGUGCAGCAUCCUCUAUAACAUCGAGCUUUGCUUGGAAGUCUGCGAUAGGGUCGCUCGGUGUCAGGUAGCAACUAAUUAUCGUAAUGCUUUCGUUUUUUAUCCAGACAAACCCAUUUCCUCUCCCGCUGAUUGUUUUUUUGAAACUGCUUCUUUCCGUUAGCCAUAUUGCCGCUGUUGCUGUGGUGUUUUCUAGCCAUGUUCCAUCUUGCGCCAUUUUGUAUUGCUCGCUGAUGAUUGCUACCUCGGUUCCGAGUUCCAGCAUGAGCUGCGGCAGGAGGUGGUCAGCCGUUUUGCUUCUGUGCAUGUUACACUGCAAGAUCUUCAUGUUCUUGUUUUUUCCUUAUCCAUCCUAUUUUUAAGUGUCCUUCUUUUAGUACCCUGUUUGCGCUAUCGGCUGUCAACGUCACAUAUGCGCGUAUAUGUUCGCGAGUAUUUGGAGCGCUGGUCCUCACUGUGAUUUCUUCAUCUGCUUGCUUUAGCAGACGUCUUACAGAGGUCGUGAUUUCUGCUGCGGUGGAUAAGGAGUCGAGAUCUCGGAUCUCAAUUGUGGCUUUCUGCUUUCACUCGCUUACAGAAGCUAUACCACGUAGGUUGCUUGUGAAAGCAUUUCGGAGCUCUGGUUUCGCUUUUCUCAAGCACCUCGGCAUAGCUGCAGCCUUCUGCCAGUUCCUUUUUUCUUCUGGAGCUUGUCGUCUGUAUGUCCUUGAGUUUGCUCUGCGCUUUGGUGUCGUUUUGCCUGCUGUAUCUUUUUUCCUCUUACUACGUGCCACACAAUAUUUCCGGGUCCUCGCCCCCUUUUCUCUGACUCCUGUUCCGUUGGGCUUGGUGCCGUUCAUUUACCGGUUCUUAAUCCACUUCGACUACUGAAAAUCGAUUUUUAAAAAUCGAUUAUUUAACGAGAAAAUUCGAUUCUCGAGUAGAAUCGGAAUCGAGUUUACCAUCUUUGGCCGCCGUCGCGUGAACACUAAAACCUCCGCACAAUAACCACCACAAAACAAAAUGAUUUUUUUUCCAUGUAAUUUAUAUGGAAAACAGAAAAUUUGAAAUAGGCACCUCUUAAUAUUAAUAUUAAGAGCUCAUCUUUUGAGUGACUUUUUUUUACACAUUUUCGAAAGUUGUGAACCUGUUUUUCAGUUGAAAAAAAAGGUUGCCUCAGAAUGACACACCCUGAUAUACGAGUACAUACAUAUUUACACAAGUUUGUUGAUAAAGCUGUUAGAGCGGCAAGGGAAGCGGUGACAAUCGGCGAUCGUUCGUUUAUUUUUUCGGCACAGCAUCGGUGCGUCGACACAUUUUUUUCUUUGACAAUACGUGAGCUUCGCCAUUGGUUGUCGCUUUUAUUAAUUAUUUGGGUAAUAAUACAAAAUUUACUCUAUUAUAUAUUUUUAAUGAUUUUAUGGAAUUAUCAUGAAAUAUAUUUGUAGGUAAAUUUUAAUAUACAUAGUACAUACAUACAUACUUAUAUACUAAGUACAUAUAUGCUUUGAUACCAAAUAUAUACCGAUCAUAUAUACAUAAAUUAUAUGCCGAGUCGGUUGCGCAUAGAAAAUAAACGAAUCUGUAGGCGUACAUUUCUUUACAUUGAAAUUAGCAUUAUAUUUAUCAUUUAACACCGAAAAUGCUCAAUUCUGCUAUUUUCGAGUCCCCUUCUGCAAAACUCUGGUGAAACGCGCGUAAAAUUUGUCUGUGCUGAAACUCCCUCAUCUCUGCCGAGUACCCCUGCGAAAAGUUAUGAUAUCAAAAACGGUCUAUGAUAAAUCUUCUCUGGCUUAUAUUGUAAUCUGGCAUGAUGACAUACGUGAGCGAGUAUAUAAACGUAUCCGUUCGUUCGAACCGCCAUUCGAACGCAAACUACCGAUCGUAACAGACGAAUUAUUUUAAAUUGACAAAUUAUAAUAAACUAAAUCCAUGCUUGGCAAGAAAUAACUUUCCAAACUCUGGGCAAGGAAGAAUUGCGUCCAAUAAAUUAUGGGAGGAACUGGCGAAGCAGCUUAAUGCCGUGGGCCACCAGUUAAAGUUGCUAAGUUGUGGAGGAAGCUUUCCUUCAAUAGCAUCGAAGCAGUGAAAACUGAUCAUUGCGACGGUUGAAAUGUUAAUCGAAGCAGCUGGACUCGAAGCUUGUUUAGAGGGCAUAACAAAUGUUUCUGCAUUUGGAAAUAACCCAACUAUGCAAGCUUCGACGUUUAUCGUUAACUGUGAAAGCAGUGAUGAGGAUGCAACCCUUUCCUCAGCUCCUUACCAGGCCCAACAACUUCAACACAGUCGCUACUCCCUACAACAACAACAACGUCAACAGAAAAAACCCCACGCACAUCGAGGAAAAAAAGGAGUGACGAAACGGAGUUACUUCAAAAAAAACAUGAAGUCACUAUCAGCUUUUCAAAAAGGCAUAGACCAGAAGCUUGAGAGGUUAGUAGCAGCACAGGAAAAAAUGCUGGCACUACAACAAACAUUUAUUGCUAUUAAGAUGGAAAAGCACCGCAUCCAACAAUCGACACGGGAAUUAGACCACGCAAUAAAAAAACUCGAAACCUUACGAAUAAAUUUAUUAUAAAACUUGGUACAUGAAUGUAAAUAUUUUUAGUUUUAAGCAUUUAAUGAAUUAUUAAUUUUAAAGAGCUUUAUUUAUUUUUGAAUUUUAUUUAUUUAGUGUUUAAGAAAUGUGAUAAAAGCAACAAACGUGAUAAAACUACUAAAUAAAAUAUUUACAAGGGUAAAUACAUAGA
Bactrocera dorsalis (oriental fruit fly) is the source of this 6623-nucleotide long non-coding RNA. RefSeq lists it as uncharacterized. The transcript has 3 exons. Lineage: Eukaryota; Metazoa; Arthropoda; Insecta; Diptera; Tephritidae. The record is from RefSeq and is a predicted model, not a curated record.